UCUUUUUGAGAUAAAUUUAAAGUCUCGCCUGCCCAAUGAUGAAUUAAAUGGCCGCGGUAUUUUGACCGUGCUAAGGUAGCAUAAUCAUUAGUUUUUUAAUUAAAAGCUGGAAUGAAGGGUUGGAUGAAAGAGUAGCUGUCUCUAUAUAAAUAAUUGAAUUUUAUUUUUAAGUUAAAAAGCUUAAAUGAUGUUAAAAGACGAGAAGACCCUAUAGAGUUUUAUAAGGAGGUUAUUUAUUUAAGUAGAAUUUAAAUUUAUAGUAUAAUUUAUUUAUUUAAUUGGGGUGAUUGAAAAAUUUAAUAAACUUUUUUUAUAUUUUUAUAUUUUUAGAUAAUUAAUUGAUCCAUUUUUAAUGAUUAUAAGAAAAAAUUACCUUAGGGAUAACAGCGUAAUUCUAUUGGAGAGUUCAGAUCGAUAGUAGAGAUUGCGACCUCGAUGUUGGAUUAAAG
This 449-nucleotide ribosomal RNA is filed under the name Aplosonyx ancora. Its description in RNAcentral is "partial 16S ribosomal RNA". It matches the Rfam family "Bacterial large subunit ribosomal RNA", at positions 1830 to 2542 of the family's 2925-position model. Lineage: Eukaryota; Metazoa; Arthropoda; Insecta; Coleoptera; Chrysomelidae. The record is from RNAcentral.